GACGAACGCUGGCGGCGUGCUUAACACAUGCAAGUCGAACGGAAAGGCCCUGCUUUUGCGGGUUGCUCGAGUGGCGAACGGGUGAGUAACACGUGAGUAACCUCCCCUUGACUUUGGGAUAACUUCAGGAAACUGGGGCUCAUACCGGAUAGGAGCUCCUGCUGCACGGUGGGGGUUGGAAAGAUUCGGCGGUUGGGGAUGUACUCGCGGCUUAUCCGCUUGUUAGUGGGGUAGUGGCUUACCAAGGCUUUGAGGGAUAGCCCACCUGAGAGGGUGACCGGCCUCAUUGGUACUGAGAUACGCAGCAGACGCGUACGGGAGGCAGCAGGCGGGAGUAUUGCACAGUGGCCGGGAGCCUGAUACGGCAACCCCGCGUGCGGGAUGCCGGCCUUCGGGUUGAAAACCGCUUUCGCCGGUGACGAAGCGUGAGUGACGGUAAUGGGUAAAGAAGCACCGGCUAACUACGUG
RNAcentral lists this ribosomal RNA (468 nucleotides) under uncultured bacterium. Its description in RNAcentral is "partial 16S ribosomal RNA". It matches the Rfam family "Bacterial small subunit ribosomal RNA", at positions 28 to 507 of the family's 1533-position model. The record is from RNAcentral.